RNAcentral lists this ribosomal RNA (253 nucleotides) under uncultured bacterium. Its description in RNAcentral is "partial 16S ribosomal RNA". It matches the Rfam family "Bacterial small subunit ribosomal RNA", at positions 524 to 776 of the family's 1533-position model. The record is from RNAcentral.
UACGUAGGGGGCUAGCGUUGUCCGGAAUCAUUGGGCGUAAAGCGCGUGUAGGCGGUCCGGUAAGUCCGCUGUGAAAGUCGGGGGCUCAACCCUCGAAUGCCGGUGGAUACUGUCGGGCUAGAGUGCGGAAGAGGCGAGUGGAAUUCCUGGUGUAGCGGUGAGAUGCGCAGAUAUCAGGAGGAACACCAAUUGCGAAGGCAGCUCGCUGGGACGUAACUGACGCUGAGACGCGAAAGCGUGGGGAGCAAACAGG